Molecule: ribosomal RNA, 497 nt
Filed under: uncultured bacterium
Lineage: Bacteria
Description: partial 16S ribosomal RNA
Rfam family: Bacterial small subunit ribosomal RNA
Source: RNAcentral
GAUGAACGCUGGCGGCGUGCCUAAUACAUGCAAGUCGAGCGAACAGACGAGGAGCUUGCUCCUCUGAUGUUAGCGGCGGACGGGUGAGUAACACGUGGAUAACCUACCUAUAAGACUGGGAUAACUUCGGGAAACCGGAGCUAAUACCGGAUAAUAUUUUGAACCGCAUGGUUCAAAAGUGAAAGACGGUCUAGCUGUCACUUAUAGAUGGAUCCGCGCUGCAUUAGCUAGUUGGUAAGGUAACGGCUUACCAAGGCAACGAUGCAUAGCCGACCUGAGAGGGUGAUCGGCCACACUGGAACUGAGACACGGUCCAGACUCCUACGGGAGGCAGCAGUAGGGAAUCUUCCGCAAUGGGCGAAAGCCUGACGGAGCAACGCCGCGUGAGUGAUGAAGGUCUUCGGAUCGUAAAACUCUGUUAUUAGGGAAGAACAUAUGUGUAAGUAACUGUGCACAUCUUGACGGUACCUAAUCAGAAAGCCACGGCUAACUACGUG